Long non-coding RNA from Protopterus annectens (West African lungfish), 1142 nucleotides. RefSeq lists it as uncharacterized. The record is from RefSeq and is a predicted model, not a curated record. NCBI's taxonomy places the organism in Eukaryota, Metazoa, Chordata, Ceratodontiformes, Protopteridae. The transcript is spliced from 3 exons.
CAACACUUUGAACCUAAAGGCUUUUCGUCGCGCGUGUACGUGUCACAGAAAGAGUAAGAUGACGUAAGUGUUUUUUUUUAGGUUACUUCUCGGCUAAUUGUCAAUGCUUAGUUGUUUGUGACUGGACCAAUGUGGAGGGGAGACUGUCUAGAAGAGGAAAGGAGGUACUUUUGAAGAUGGAAUGGAAAUACCUGUGGAUACAGUUUCCUUGAUCAACUAUCCUGAGCGAUGACAGCAAUGCUUCAGGAUGCAAGGAAAUGCAAACCCUGACUGCCACCAGAGGGAUCAGUCAAGCAGCCCUUCAGGAGUUCUACUGUCUGUUCCUGUGGGAAAGGACUACAGAAUUCCUGACCAACAAAACAGCAUUACCGGUGCUGUUCUCAUUAACGACUUAAAGACGUUUGUCUUUCAGACGAAUACUUUGUAUGUAAUUACUGUCGAUGUAGUAAAGCUGAAAAAUACUUCACACUCCUACACAUAUUUUCUAUGUACCUUUUAGUACAUCAGAGCAGCUAAAGACAUCUGUUUGCAAAUAAACACAAUUAGGUUUUUCAAAUCAUAAUCCACCAGCUGCAUGUUAUAAAAAUGGAUGUUAAGAUUCACCCUUCAGCUUCGAUGUUAAGCAGAUGUCAAAAAUUUCACACCUUAUCAAACAUAUGUAUAACAUAUGGUACACUACUGUAGUCUGCCUUGCCCCAAUCAAGUUGACAGCACUUGAAAAAGCAGACCACAGAGCACUUAUGCUCCACUGUAACUUAAAUAUGUCAUUUGUGGUAUUCAGUGCUGCAAUAAAGUACAUGAAAGGUUAAAAAAAAAUCAUUACUUCAGCCAAACAAGACAUGCUAAAACUGGUUUUCUUUCUCAGCUAAAAAGAUUUCUUCACACUUAAUUUUUUUUUUGGCUCUAGUCAAUUGUUGUAUAGCCUGCCAGGAAUCAAGAAUCUGACAACUGAAGUAACUGAAUGAUGGUAGCCAUUGAUAAAGUAAAAACUUUUAGACGCUUCACAUUUUUUCAUGCUUUGUGUGUCUGUGUUAGUAAAAAAAUUAUUCAGUUUUUAGAGCAGUAACAGCUUUCCAACGCUGUUCUGUGGUAGCUGCCAUGUGUGUUCUAAUACAAGAUUAAAGCAAAACAGUUCUGAAACA